Podarcis lilfordi (Lilford's wall lizard) is the source of this 71-nucleotide non-coding RNA. The record is from the annotation of a GenBank genome assembly. NCBI's taxonomy places the organism in Eukaryota, Metazoa, Chordata, Lepidosauria, Squamata, Lacertidae.
GCCGGUGUGGCACAGUGGUUAGAGUGCUGGACAAGGAUUUGGGAGACGAGGGUUCAAAUCCUCACUCGGCC